RNAcentral lists this ribosomal RNA (257 nucleotides) under uncultured bacterium. RNAcentral's name for it is "partial 16S ribosomal RNA". It matches the Rfam family "Bacterial small subunit ribosomal RNA", at positions 98 to 353 of the family's 1533-position model. The record is from RNAcentral.
GCGGACGGGUGAGUAACGCGUGGGAAACCUGCCCUGUACCGGGGGAUAACACUUAGAAAUAGGUGCUAAUACCGCAUAAGCGCACAGCUUCACAUGAGGCAGUGUGAAAAACUCCGGUGGUACAGGAUGGUCCCGCGUCUGAUUAGCCAGUUGGCAGGGUGACGGCCUACCAAAGCGACGAUCAGUAGCCGGCCUGAGAGGGUGAACGGCCACAUUGGGACUGAGACACGGCCCAAACUCCUACGGGAGGCAGCAUG